This 269-nucleotide ribosomal RNA is filed under the name uncultured Actinomycetes bacterium. Its description in RNAcentral is "uncultured actinobacterium partial 16S ribosomal RNA". It matches the Rfam family "Bacterial small subunit ribosomal RNA", at positions 62 to 333 of the family's 1533-position model. The record is from RNAcentral. Lineage: Bacteria; Bacillati; Actinomycetota; Actinomycetes.
UCGAGCGAUGAAGCACCUUCGGGUGUGAAUUAGCGGCGAACGGGUGAGGAACACGUGAGAAAUCUGCCUUCAACACUGGGAUAACCUCCGGGAAACCGGGGCUAAUACCGGAUAUGAAAUCUGCGGGCAUCCGCGGAUUUGGAAAGUUUUUCGGUUGAAGAUGAUCUCGCGGCCUAUCAGCUUGUUGGUGAGGUAAUGGCUCACCAAGGCGACGACGGGUAGCCGGCCUGAGAGGGCGACCGGCCACACUGGGACUGAGACACGGCCCA